GACCUGAUAGCACAAUGUCAGUGCAUCUGCAUUUAGUUGGAUUGUGCAGUCAAUAUUUAUGCAGAAGAUCCCCGUUCGACUCGGGGUCAGGUCA
Mycena latifolia is the source of this 94-nucleotide non-coding RNA. Lineage: Eukaryota; Fungi; Basidiomycota; Agaricomycetes; Agaricales; Mycenaceae. The record is from the annotation of a GenBank genome assembly.